This 73-nucleotide transfer RNA is filed under the name Heterocephalus glaber (naked mole-rat). It matches the Rfam family "tRNA". Rfam says of the family: Transfer RNA (tRNA) molecules are approximately 80 nucleotides in length. Their secondary structure includes four short double-helical elements and three loops (D, anti-codon, and T loops). Further hydrogen bonds mediate the characteristic L-shaped molecular structure. tRNAs have two regions of fundamental functional importance: the anti-codon, which is responsible for specific mRNA codon recognition, and the 3' end, to which the tRNAs corresponding amino acid is attached (by aminoacyl-tRNA synthetases). tRNAs cope with the degeneracy of the genetic code in two manners: having more than one tRNA (with a specific anti-codon) for a particular amino acid; and 'wobble' base-pairing, i.e. permitting non-standard base-pairing at the 3rd anti-codon position. The record is from Rfam by way of RNAcentral. Lineage: Eukaryota; Metazoa; Chordata; Mammalia; Rodentia; Bathyergidae.
UAGGGUAUGGCUCAAUGGUACAGCACUUUGCCUAGCAUGCAAGAGGCCCUGGGUUCAAUCCCCAGCACCACAA